Molecule: ribosomal RNA, 137 nt
Filed under: uncultured bacterium
Lineage: Bacteria
Description: partial 16S ribosomal RNA
Rfam family: Bacterial small subunit ribosomal RNA
Source: RNAcentral
UGGGGAAUAUUGGACAAUGGGCGCAAGCCUGAUCCAGCAAUGCCGCGUGAGUGAUGAAGGCCCUCGGGUCGUAAAGCUCUUUUACCAGGGAUGAUAAUGACAGUACCUGGAGAAUAAGCUCCGGCUAACUCCGUGCC